This 465-nucleotide ribosomal RNA is filed under the name Vreelandella stevensii. Its description in RNAcentral is "partial 16S ribosomal RNA". It matches the Rfam family "Bacterial small subunit ribosomal RNA", at positions 338 to 795 of the family's 1533-position model. The record is from RNAcentral. Lineage: Bacteria; Pseudomonadati; Pseudomonadota; Gammaproteobacteria; Oceanospirillales; Halomonadaceae.
CCUACGGGGGGCGGCAGUGGGGAAUAUUGGACAAUGGGCGAAAGCCUGAUCCAGCCAUGCCGCGUGUGUGAAGAAGGCCUUCGGGUUGUAAAGCACUUUCAGUGGGGAAGAAAGCCUUGGGGCUAAUACCCUCGAGGAAGGACAUCACCCACAGAAGAAGCACCGGCUAACUCCGUGCCAGCAGCCGCGGUAAUACGGAGGGUGCGAGCGUUAAUCGGAAUUACUGGGCGUAAAGCGCGCGUAGGCGGUCUGAUAAGCCGGUUGUGAAAGCCCCGGGCUCAACCUGGGAACGGCAUCCGGAACUGUCAGGCUAGAGUGCAGGAGAGGAAGGUAGAAUUCCCGGUGUAGCGGUGAAAUGCGUAGAGAUCGGGAGGAAUACCAGUGGCGAAGGCGGCCUUCUGGACUGACACUGACGCUGAGGUGCGAAAGCGUGGGUAGCAAACAGGAUUAGAUACCCGGGUAGUC